UCCCUCUUAGCUCAGUGGUAGAGCGCGUCACUAGUAUACUUGGUCACAAUCCUCGUGUACAUGACGAGGUCAGUCGUUCAAGUCGGCUAGAGGGAA
Molecule: non-coding RNA, 96 nt
Organism: Tricholoma furcatifolium
Lineage: Eukaryota; Fungi; Basidiomycota; Agaricomycetes; Agaricales; Tricholomataceae
Source: the annotation of a GenBank genome assembly